UUAGGGAGACCUACCCAAAUCAGAAAUCGAAAGCCAAAAGCCAGAAGGCGAAAGCCGAAAGCUCAAAGGGAAUAGAGACUGAGAUGGUCUACUCUAGGUCGGUCGCAGAAGUUGUAAGGCUUUCAAACUAAUAAUGAGGUUCGUAUGGGCUAUUAGCUCAGGUGGUUAGAGCGCACCCCUGAUAAGGGUGAGGUCCCUGGUUCGAGUCCAGGAUGGCCCACCUGAAGCAAUGAAAAAUUCAAAAUGCAAAAUUCAAAACGGUUUAUUUAAUUUUGAAUUUUGAAUUUUUAAUUUUGAAUUGUGUGGGGGGGUUUAGCUCAGUUGGUAGAGCGCCUGCUUUGCAAGCAGGAUGUCAGCGGUUCGAGUCCGCUAACCUCCACAUGAAAAGAAGCAAGAAAAGCUUCAAGAAAAAGAGAAGAAAUCAGCAACUAACGCUUGUUAGACUGCUGAGGAAACUCAGCCAGAACCUUGAAAACUGCAUAGAAACGCGAUUAGAGCAGGCAGACACAAGUAUUGGAAAGAUAUGAAGUGUUUGCGGGAUUUGAACCAAUGUAAAAGU
This 559-nucleotide transfer RNA is filed under the name Nostoc sp. SK6A-PS. Its description in RNAcentral is "16S-23S ribosomal RNA intergenic spacer". The stretch from base 307 to 379 matches the Rfam family "tRNA". The record is from RNAcentral. Lineage: Bacteria; Bacillati; Cyanobacteriota; Cyanophyceae; Nostocales; Nostocaceae.